This 180-nucleotide ribosomal RNA is filed under the name uncultured Glomeromycotina. RNAcentral describes it as "partial small subunit ribosomal RNA". The record is from RNAcentral. Lineage: Eukaryota; Fungi; Glomeromycota.
GGGCUGGCCGGGUGGUCCGUCGUUUCGGCGUGUACUGCCUUUCGGCCGGUCCUUUCCUUCUGGGGAAUCGGUGGUGCACUUAACUGGGCGCUGCCGGGGAGCCAGGACUUUUACUUUGAAAAAAUUAGAGUGUUUAAAGCAGGCUAACGUCUGAAUACAUUAGCAUGGAAUAAUGAAAUA